Bos taurus (domestic cattle) is the source of this 71-nucleotide non-coding RNA. Lineage: Eukaryota; Metazoa; Chordata; Mammalia; Artiodactyla; Bovidae. The record is from Rfam.
UCCCAAGUGGCUCAGUGGUAAAGAAUCUGCCUGUCAAGCAGGAGAUGUGGGUUCAAUCCCUGUGUCAGGAA